Molecule: long non-coding RNA, 248 nt
Filed under: Elaeis guineensis (African oil palm)
Lineage: Eukaryota; Viridiplantae; Streptophyta; Magnoliopsida; Arecales; Arecaceae
Description: long non-coding RNA (EGUI_LNC004665)
Source: RNAcentral
CCCAAGCCAUGUUGCUAUAAAAGAUGCAGUUCGUACCUAAGGCUCAUCGUCGUGCUCACAUUAUUGUAUUAGAAAACUUCCUGAAAUAGAAGAAGUGCAAAGGCCCCAUUAAUUUAAUUUUUUUUUAAUUAAAAGAAGCACAUGGGAUUGAUGCUAUAUUAUUAUCUUAGGCGAACGGGAAGUGAGGUACCUCUCCACAUGUCUAGCCAUUUUAGAGGUUGAUGAUGUGAUUAUAAUAGUAGACCCCA